GCAUCCUUUUAGUCCUGAAGAUUGCAUUGAACAGCCUAGAGAGCCACUCCCCUCCAGCUUUAUCCAUGCACUUCCAGAGCUCCACCGCGAUCUCGUCAGGCCCGGUCGCUCGACCCCUACUCAUCCUACGCAACGCCCCUAAAACUUCCUCCACCCUGAUGCGUCUGCAGUACCCAAGGUCUCUAUGACGCUCUGAAUGCCCCAAC
RNAcentral lists this long non-coding RNA (206 nucleotides) under Nicotiana benthamiana. RNAcentral describes it as "long non-coding RNA (NBEN_LNC000303)". The record is from RNAcentral. Lineage: Eukaryota; Viridiplantae; Streptophyta; Magnoliopsida; Solanales; Solanaceae.